This 1040-nucleotide unclassified non-coding RNA is filed under the name Leishmania donovani. RNAcentral describes it as "gene:LdHU3.36.0370(CDS-product:peptidyl-prolyl_ci s-trans_isomerase_putative)". Lineage: Eukaryota; Euglenozoa; Kinetoplastea; Trypanosomatida; Trypanosomatidae. The record is from RNAcentral.
GUUCCCUUUGCGCGUACCGCUGCCGUUGCCGCGUUUUUUUUUUGUUCGCUCCGCUUCAACCGCUCCUCUCUCUAGGCUUCCAAUUACUUCCGCAAGCGCACCCUCGUGUGAAUGGGCGUCAUUCGUACGGUCAUGAAGGCGGGCAGUGGCGCCACCCCAAAGGCCGGGCAGACAAUCACCGUGCACUGCACCGGGUACUUAGCGGAUGGGAAGAAGAAGUUCUGGUCCACCCGCGAUGACAACAACCCGUUCUCCUUCAACGUGGGCGUCGGCCAGGUGAUUCGCGGCUGGGAUGAGGGCAUGAUGCAGAUGCAGCUCGGGGAGACGGCAGAGUUGCUCAUGACGGCUGACUACGCCUACGGUGAUCGCGGCUUUCCUGCCUGGAACAUCCCGUCAAACGCCGCACUGCUGUUCGAGAUUGAGCUGCUGAAAAUACAGUAGACUAUCUCCGGCGGUGCGACUUCGCUCUUGCACCUCUUUUCUCGUUCUUUUUUGUCGUGUAGCGUUUCCAUCUCUGUUAUUCCUCUCGCCCUUCCGUCCCCCUCUUGAUGGCGCAUUACUCGUUGAGCGCCAACUGCGCGGCGUGGCAGUUGGCGUGCUCCGUGCGUGUGCCAUUCAGCGCGGAUGGUCAUAGGCAAGCUAUGGCGGCAGCGACACGCCACAGGUCUCUUUCUAUCCAACGAAGCAAGAGAGAUGUGAGAAAAAUUAGAAAACAGACGAAAUGGAAGUUCACCAGGUAGAAAGUGUGCUCCACGAAGAUCUCCCCGGAGAUGCGCGUGCCGCGAUACGGGGAGCUCAUCCGGCGUGACCACGUAGUCGUGCGAGCGAGUGGAGCUGUCAAGCUUCUGUAAGCGACUAUGCCGGCACUUGUGUAGCUGGGGCAAGGUUAGUGCGACCGCCCGCGCCGGUCUCCCCGGUUGUGCGGACGGACCUCCUCAAGCAGGUGAGUGCAUGCCACCGUCGCUAUCGACUCGGUUGUGUUUUUCUUUCGUAUGAUGUGUGCAUUGCCUGAUGACGGCGGGCCCAUGUCAGUGCGUGAC